RNAcentral lists this ribosomal RNA (468 nucleotides) under uncultured bacterium. Its description in RNAcentral is "partial 16S ribosomal RNA". It matches the Rfam family "Bacterial small subunit ribosomal RNA", at positions 28 to 507 of the family's 1533-position model. The record is from RNAcentral.
GACGAACGCUGGCGGCGUGCUUAACACAUGCAAGUCGAACGGAAAGGCCGUGCUUUUGUGUUCUGCACGAGUGGCGAACGGGUGAGUAACACGUGAGUAACCUGCCCGUGACUUUGGGAUAACUUCAGGAAACUGUGGCUAAUACCGGAUAGCAGCUCCUGCUGCAUGGUGUGGGUUGGAACGUUUCGGCGGAUUGGGAUGGACUCGCGGCUUCUUAGCUUGUUGGUGUGGUAGUGGCUUACCAAGGCUUAGACGGGUAGCCGGCCUGGGAGGGUGACCGGCCACAUUGGGACUGAGGUACGGGCCAGAGUGCUACGGGAGGCAGGAGUGGAAAACAUUGCGAGAUGGGCGGAGGGCGGAUGCAGCAACGUCGCGUGCGGGAUGACGGCCGUCGGGUUGUAAACAGUGUUCGCCUGUGACGAAGAGUGAGUGACGGUAAUGGGUAAAGAAGCACCGGCUAACUACGUG